UGGGGAGUACGCCGGCAACGGUAAAACUCAAAGGAAUUGACGGGGACCCGCACAAGCGGUGGAGCCAUGUGGUUUAAUUCCGAUGCAACGCGAAGAACCUUACCAGCCCUUGACAUCCCUCGGAACUUUGCAGAGAUGCAUUGGUGCCUUCGGGAAUCGAGUGACAGGUGCUGCAUGGCUGUCGUCAGCUCGUGUCGUGAGAUGUUGGGUUAAGUCCCGCAACGAGCGCAACCCUUGUCCCCUAGUUGCCAGCGAUUCGGUCGGGAACUCUAGGGAGACUGCCGGUGACAAACCGGAGGAAGGUGGGGACGACGUCAAGCCAUCCAUGGCCCUUAUGGGCUGGGCUACACACGUGCUACAAUGGGGAGUACAGAGGGCUGCCAACCAGCAAUG
RNAcentral lists this ribosomal RNA (393 nucleotides) under uncultured bacterium. RNAcentral describes it as "bacterial SSU rRNA". It matches the Rfam family "Bacterial small subunit ribosomal RNA", at positions 874 to 1262 of the family's 1533-position model. The record is from RNAcentral.